AAACGUUCUCUCUCCCAAGGGAAGUCAGUCUUUUGCUCAUGGACAUCAGCUGAUUGGAUGAGGCCUACCCACGUUAUAGACAGUAAUCUGCUUUACUGCAAGUCUAUGGAUUUCAAUGUUAAUCUCAUCUAAAAAAUACCUUCCCAGUAAGAUCCAGAUGCAUUUGACCAAAUAUCUGAGUACUGUAGCCUAGGCAAAUUUAACAUAUAAAAUCAACGACCACACCUGUAUCUACUUUACUAUAAUAUCAGGUACAUUCUAAAAUAUAUGCAUUACAUACAUAUACAAAAAUAUUUUAGAAGAAUAAAAUUAUGAAACAAAAAGAAAAUGCUAAUGCUUUCUUCUUAACUUGCAGUGAGUUCUUUUGUGCAUUCCAUGAAAUGUGUGCAGUCUACAGGAGUCCCUGCUAGAUAGACUGGAGAGCCAUCACAAGGAAUUACAGAAUUAAACACAUGUAAUUGUUAUCUGUCUCAUUGCAGAGCUGGGAUUCGAGGCAGGAAUACAAAUCAGGAAAAAACAAUAGAGCAGAAAAGAGAAGUUUGGCAUCUGACUCAAGGUUGCAGCAACGGCAUGAAAUCUGCUCGCUCUGACCCUGGAAAUGCCCAGCUGGAGAACUGGUGUGCAUUUGUGAUGUCUGGGUGGACCAGCUGGGUAACAUCACCAUGCCUGUGCAUAGAGAAGGAAUGAUUCUCCCUCUUCCCUUUCACUGUAUCCAGAGUCUGCUAAUGAGGUCCAGAGGACUGACUGCAGAGCCCAUUUUUCCUUUGUAGGAGGCACAUAUGGUACAAUUAUAAAUUACCCAUACCCAAGCCAAAUACACACACACACACACAGAUUAAAUGUAAGCAGUUAAUGAAACAAACAUAUGAAUUAUAGCAGACAUCAAAGUAUCUCUUUUUCAGGGUUACCAUUUUGGAUUACCAUCUAGCCCAUUAGAUGUUUGCUGAAUAAAUUCAGACCAGUGUUAACCAAUAAAAUACAUAUCUACAUGAAUUAGAUGGUGGUCCAAUAUAAUAUUUUCUAUUAAGUAGUGAAUUGUCUUCUUUUAGAUAUUUUGAAAUUAAUGUCCUCUUUAUCACCUGCUAAAUCUGUAUGUUUUUGUUUAAACACAAUGGAACAAUUCAACAAGGUAUUAUAAGAUUUCAUCUAGUGAGGAUAAAAGCUGUUUAGAAAGCAUGACUUAAAAUUUCUCAAAGCUGUUUACUGUCUUGCCUAAAUUAUGCAGACAGAGCUUAUAUAUUAGGGCCUUUGGAUCUUUAGAUUGGAAACAUUUUCAGAUUUAGAAAAGCUUCAUUGUUUAGUUUGAACUUUUCCAUUUAAAAUAAUCAGAGGUGAAUGGGAAACAUAAUCCUCUUACUAAUGUGUUUUUUUAUGAGUGAAUGCUGAGAAACUUAACAUAAAGAUGCAAUCUGAAAAAAAGAAAUAGAAAAGAACUUUCUCACUUUCACUUAAUUACUAAUAAAAAAUUAUAAAAUAUAAAGCCUAAUGUUUAGUGUCAUCUCUUAUUGGAAUAUGUCAGCUUCCCCAGAGACAAUGCAUUGCCACAAGUAGCUAUUUGAAACAAAUCUUUCUGUGAUAUCUGAAGACACUCUUCUGCAAGGCUCUCUCUUCAAGAGUUUCAAAGCAGCACUUUCCCAACCCUCUGUGCAUCCAGCUAAACAAAGCAAGCAAAGGACUAUUUCUCUUUGACUUAUAUUUUACUCGUUAGUCAUUUUGUAUCAUUAUAAUUCUGAAAUAAAAUAAGCCUUAAGAGAAAAAAAUCCACCACAUAUUUUAUAUUAAAUGUUCAUUCAUGAGCUAAUCUUAGCUAGCUGUUCCUUUGAAACCACAAUGCAGUCUUAAAAUCAUUUAAACUGUUACUAAUUUAGCAGUUGUACAGUGAUGGAUUUUUCAGGUUGCUUACAUAUAGA
Callithrix jacchus (white-tufted-ear marmoset) is the source of this 1910-nucleotide long non-coding RNA. NCBI's taxonomy places the organism in Eukaryota, Metazoa, Chordata, Mammalia, Primates, Cebidae. The record is from Ensembl.